Dipodomys ordii (Ord's kangaroo rat) is the source of this 65-nucleotide non-coding RNA. NCBI's taxonomy places the organism in Eukaryota, Metazoa, Chordata, Mammalia, Rodentia, Heteromyidae. The record is from Rfam.
GGUGGCUCAGUGGUAGAGUGUGUGCCUCGUAUGCAUGAGACCCUGGGUUCGAUUCCUUAGCACCA